GAGAAGAAAACUUGAGGGUAGGGUAGGGAAGGGAGGAGGGGGAGGCAUUCCUGCGUCAACUGUAGGAAUGUUUAAGGUUAUUAUAUUGAUGCACACACUUAACAUCAGCCCACCAGAGGGGUUCAAACUUGCUGAGGGACUGUUCUAAUGUCUCAAGGCAGGGGAGUGGGAUUAAACAGUAGCCCAGUGUGAGGUUUUUGUUUAUAUAUGACCCAGGAAACAUUCAACAGCCACAUCAAAGUACUGUAUUUUAGCGACUUUUAACCCUGUAGCAGCGAGGAUCACGAUUUUUAACCCGUACAGUGUUUACUACAUGCAUAUACAUACCUCUUAGGGAAGUGUUUAUUACGUAUAUAUACACAAGCUCUUUUGAGGGCUUAUGCGCCCUUUAUUUUUGUUUGUGUAUGUAACAUUGUUCAUUGACAAUGAAGAGCAAUAAUUUGACAAGUCUUGGUAGUUUUAAAUGGAUGUUAAAGAGCCUUUCUGUACAUUUGUCUGCAUUCCAACAAAAAUCAUUAUACAAGAAGGUAAGUUACUUUCUUCUAGGUAAUUACUCCUCGAUUCUAUAAUCAGUAAGGCAUAAGGAAUUGUAAAUUGCGCUUCAGAGUAAUUGGAAAUGAAAACUGAUAGUCGGAAGCAUCACAGUAUUAUGUUGAAGUUGGAAAGUUUUGUUUAGUGGGCGCAACAUCUGUGGUCAUAUGCUGGAGAGAGACAGAAGGGGAAGGAAUUAUAGAAGGCAACAGGGAAAGUUUUGUUUAGGUGGCACAACAUCUGUGGUCAUAUGCCGGAGAGAGACAGAAGGGGAAGGAAUUAUAGAAGGGAACAGUUGGAAAGUUUGGUUUAGUGGGCGCAACAUCUGUGGUCAUAUGCCGGAGAGAGACAGAAGGGGAAGGAAUUAUAGUAGGGAAGAGAUGGAACGAAUGGUUUAGUGGGCGCAACAUCUGUGGUCAUAUGCCGGAGAGAGACAGAAAGGGAAGGAAUUAUAGGAGAAGGGAACAGUUGGAAAGUUUGGUUUAGUGGGCGCAACAUCUGUGGUCAUAUGCCGGAGAGAGACAGAAGGGGAAGGAAUUAUAGGAGAAGGGAACAGUUGGAAAGUUUGGUUUAGUGGGCGCAACAUCUGUGGUCAUAUGCCGAAGACAGAAGGGGAAGGAAUUAUAGGAGAAGGUAACAGUUGGAUAGUUUGGUUUAGUGGGCGAAUCAUCUGUGGUCAUAUGCCGGAGAGAUACAGAAGGGGAAGGAAUUAUAGGAGAAGGGAACAGUUGGAAAGUUUGGUUUAGUGGGCGCAACAUCUGUGGUCAUAUGCCGGAGAGAGACAGAAGGGGAAGGAAUUAUAGGAGAAGGGAACAGUUGGAAAGUUUGGUUUAGUGGGCGCAACAUCUGUGGUCAUAUGCCGGAGACAGAAGGGGAAAGAAUUACAGGAGAAGGGAACAGGGAAAGUUUUGUUUAGGUGGCGCAACAUCUGUGGUCAUAUGCUGGAGAGAGACAGAAGGGGAAGGAAUUAUAGGAGAAGGGAACAGUUGGAAAGUUUGGUUUAGGUGGCGCAACAUCUGUGGUCAUAUGCCGGAGAGAGACAGAAGGGGAAGGAAUUAUAGGAGAAGGGAACAGUUGGAAAGUUUGGUUUAGUGGGCGCAACAUCUGUGGUCAUAUGCCGGAGAGAGACAGAAGGGGAAGGAAUUACAGAAGGGAACAGGGAAAGUUUCUUUUAGUGGGCACAACAUCUGUGGUCAUAUGCCGGAGAGAGACAGAAGGGGAAAGAAUUACAGAAGGGAACAGGGAAAG
Long non-coding RNA from Eriocheir sinensis (Chinese mitten crab), 1779 nucleotides. RefSeq lists it as uncharacterized. NCBI's taxonomy places the organism in Eukaryota, Metazoa, Arthropoda, Malacostraca, Decapoda, Varunidae. The transcript has 4 exons. The record is from RefSeq and is a predicted model, not a curated record.